Diceros bicornis minor is the source of this 1459-nucleotide long non-coding RNA. RefSeq lists it as uncharacterized. The transcript has 5 exons. The record is from RefSeq and is a predicted model, not a curated record. NCBI's taxonomy places the organism in Eukaryota, Metazoa, Chordata, Mammalia, Perissodactyla, Rhinocerotidae.
CCCAUGCUGGGAGCUCUACCAGGAAAAGGCUGCACCUUUUGUUUUUCCUCAGCACUGACUCUUAGAACCCAGGACAAUGCCCAGUGGAGUGUAGGCUCUCAAAUAUUUGUUGACUUAACUCUCCCUGCAAUAUGCCAGUGAAGAUAUAUAAGCAGAAAUGUACUGAAUGAGGCUUCCAAAUAAGUGUUGUACUGUGGAGAGGGAUGGAGACUGAAGAAUUGAGCAGGCCAGGAGGCAGGAGAGAUCAUCUGCAGGAAUCAGCAGUGACUGCUAUGGACCAUGCUCUGCGCCAAGGGCUGGAGAGAUGCUGACUCCCUAGACACACCAUCAGAUGACUCAAAGGAUGUCCACUGGGAGGAAAAGUUAAGCUUCGUUGGUUUGGAAAGGACUUUAAGGCUUAUGUUUUCCAACUAUGAUACAUUUCUAGCAAGCAAUAGACCAAUCAUUGAUGGAGAAUUUAUUGCUACCCUAUGCAUCCUCUACCAACUUAGCAGCUCUGACUGCUAAAGGUUCCUGCUUUUCUGUAGUUUCUACCCUUCGGUUCAAGUCCUCUGGAGUUCCACACAAUGGUUCUCACCACUCUUCUGAGUAGUGUCCUUCAUGCAUGGGAUAUGACAGAUGUGGACUCACUGCUAGGUAUGCCAGCACUCACAAAGUGAUUAUGGCCUCUCUCCGUUCCACAUGCAAACCAGGAUUAAGUCCUUGUUUCCUUAGCAAGGCCUAUAAGGCAUUUUGUCAUUUGACCCUUUGUUCUCUGCUUCAGCAAUAUGCCCUAAAACUGCAGAUAUACUUAACUAUCUGAACUUUAGCUUAUGCUCUGUGAUCCUUCUUUCUAGAAUAUUCUCUUUCCCACUCUCUUCCCCAGAUUUGCCUCCUCUGCGGAGCUUUUCAUGACCCAAAAAGACUGGAUAAUGCUUUCUCACACCUGCUUACAUUGCAUCUUGAGUGUUUCCUUGGUUAUAACACUCAUUUGUAACUAAACGUUUAUUUCUCUCUCUCUUCAGCAGGACCAUGGGAUCCUAGUGGCCAGGGAUGAUAUUUCGUUCUCUUAGCCCCAAAGCCUAACAUUUGAUUUAAACAUAUAGUGAGUGCUUAGUGAAAUGAAUGAAUGAAUGAAUGACCUUCCUGUGUCUUGUCCAAGCCCAUUCACCAACCCCUCAACUUACAUUCUCUCUUCAUCAUGGCAGUGGGAAAGAGGGAGUUGAGAAGGAAGAUGGAUAGGAUGAGGGAGUGACUGACAGGGAAGGGUAACCAGCGAAGAGAUAAGCAUAUCAGAAUCAAAAACUUCAUUUUAUAGAUGAGGAGACUGAGACAAAAAUACAUAACGUACCUAAGUCACACAGUGGAGCCUGAAGUCCUGUUUCCUGGCCUCUGGCCCUGUGCCUUUUUUCCAUCUCGUGAAUAUUGCAGCAAGUACUUUUUGAACACACAGGCAAAAACAACUGGCUCAGAUAGCCUC